GAUGAACGCUGGCGGCGUGCCUAAUACAUGCAAGUCGAGCGAACAGGUAAGGAGCUUGCUCCUUUGACGUUAGCGGCGGACGGGUGAGUAAAACGUGGGUAACCUACCUAUAAGACUGGGAUAACUUCGGGAAACCGGAGCUAAUACCGGAUAAUAUUUCGAACCGCAUGGUUCGAUAGUGAAAGAUGGAUUUGCUAUCACUUAUAGUUGGACCCGCGCCGUAUUAGCUAGUUGGUAAGGUAACGGCUUACCAAGGCUACGAUACGUAGCCGACCUGAGAGGGUGAUCGGCCACACUGGAACUGAGACACGGUCCAGACUCCUACGGGAGGCAGCAGUGGGGAAUCUUGCGCAAUGGGCGAAAGCCUGACGCAGCAACGCCGCGUGAGUGAUGAAGGUCUUCGGAUCGUAAAACUCUGUUAUUAGGGAAGAACAUACGUGUAAGUAACUGUGGACGGCUUGACGGUACCUAAUCAGAAAGCCACGGCUAACUACGUG
RNAcentral lists this ribosomal RNA (497 nucleotides) under uncultured bacterium. RNAcentral describes it as "partial 16S ribosomal RNA". It matches the Rfam family "Bacterial small subunit ribosomal RNA", at positions 28 to 507 of the family's 1533-position model. The record is from RNAcentral.